AACGAACGCUGGCGGCAUGCCUAACACAUGCAAGUCGAACGAGACCUUCGGGUCUAGUGGCGCACGGGUGCGUAACGCGUGGGAACCUGCCCUUAGGUUCGGAAUAACUCCCCGAAAGGGGUGCUAAUACCGGAUAAUGUCUUCGGACCAAAGAUUUAUCGCCUUUGGAUGGGCCCGCGUUGGAUUAGCUAGUUGGUAGGGUAAAAGCCUACCAAGGCGACGAUCCAUAGCUGGUCUGAGAGGAUGAUCAGCCACACUGGGACUGAGACACGGCCCAGAAUCAUACGGGAGGCAGCAGUGGGGAAUAUUGGACAAUGGGCGAAAGCCUGAUCCAGCACUGCCGCGUGAGUGAUGAAGGCCUUAGGGUUGUAAAGCUCUUUUACCCGGGAUGAUAAUGACAGUACCGGGAGAAUAAGCUCCGGCUAACUCCGUG
This 433-nucleotide ribosomal RNA is filed under the name uncultured bacterium. RNAcentral describes it as "partial 16S ribosomal RNA". It matches the Rfam family "Bacterial small subunit ribosomal RNA", at positions 29 to 507 of the family's 1533-position model. The record is from RNAcentral.